RNAcentral lists this ribosomal RNA (256 nucleotides) under uncultured bacterium. RNAcentral describes it as "partial 16S ribosomal RNA". It matches the Rfam family "Bacterial small subunit ribosomal RNA", at positions 337 to 585 of the family's 1533-position model. The record is from RNAcentral.
GCCUACGGGACGCAGCAGUAGGGAAUCUUCCACAAUGGACGAAAGUCUGAUGGAGCAACGCCGCGUGAGUGAAGAAGGGUUUCGGCUCGUAAAGCUCUGUUGGUAGUGAAGAAAGAUAGAGGGAGUAACUGGCCUUUAUUUGACGGUAAUUACUUAGAAAGUCACGGCUAACUACGUGCCAGCAGCCGCGGGAAAACGUAGGGGGCAAGCGUUGUCCGGAUUUAUUGGGCGUAAAGCGAGUGCAGGCGGUUUAAAA